Molecule: long non-coding RNA, 1183 nt
Filed under: Dromaius novaehollandiae (emu)
Lineage: Eukaryota; Metazoa; Chordata; Aves; Casuariiformes; Dromaiidae
Description: lncRNA (ENSDNVG00000016740.1)
Source: RNAcentral
AAAAGAUGAUGUCUCUAUUUCACUUUGAAUAUUAAAACCUUACAACCUAUGAUCUUAACAUUGCCUACUUAAGCUCCCGCUUAUCUAUUUGCCUGUGUUCUGAUUAAAGCCUUGUUGAAACUGGUGUGGUUCUUCAGUUGAGUCACAUCCAUCAAACUUCAUUACUCAGAUGCAAAUCAUAUAAUACUAAAAACACUGGAAAAUUACAAACACGUAAAACUCCUUUCCAUACGUACUAAUUACUGUUAUAUAGCAUUUUUUAGUUAAAUGGUUUUAUGAUUUGUGUCUCUGAAAUAUAAGAUUAAGGAGAGCUCUUUUGGAGAGAUUUAAGAAGACAGAAAUUCAAAGUGGUGGAAAUACAAAUACAAUUUUAAAUAACUUAAUGCACAUUAUCUCCUGUAUGUGUAUAUAGGCUGUGAUUUUCGCUUGACCUUGCUAUGAUUUUGACUCGAGAUGUUUCCUUCAAAUUAGUGAAUGAUUUCUUCUUACCCCUUCUCUUUAUUUUGGGUAUAUGGUAAAACAGAAAACAGGCCAUACUUUGAAAUAGAUUUUCAUACAGAAAAGGACUAGUAAGGGUGCAAAUCCUGUAGAAAGCAAAUAGGAAGUCAUUGCUUCACUACCCGUUGCACAGCUGAGGGCAUUGGCUUUUGUUAUUAAAGCUCGUGAUAUUUUAUACUGAAAUUUGAACUGAUAACUGAUUUUUUUCUUGUUUUUAACCUCAUGCUCUCUCCAACCUGUGACAUCUUGGCUCGGCAGCCCAGUCAUCCCAUAGUGCCUAUUCCAGAAAAUGAAACACUCAGCUCUGAGGAGGCUGCCAAUGAAAGAGGUUCUGUUUAGCCAUAAUGCCUUGAAUUAGGAUCCAGAGCUAAACCUGUAAAGGAUUUUGAGGCCUCUUCCUAUACUGAGAUGGAAUCCACACCACAAAUGUUAUUUAACACACCACUUCAAAAAAAAUUGCUUCCAGUAUACUAGUUGCAAAGCAGUCAUAACUGUCAAAUAUUCUUUCCAGAGAUAACCAUACGUACUAGAGUAAUUAACCCCAGAGAUACACACACGAAUGUGGCAUAUUUAUAUAUCGUUUCUUGAAGUGCUUACUGGUUUAAGAGGUGCCAAGAAUAACACAGCAUAUUUUCUUUAGAAAUAAUAUAAAUGUUGACAUUAAAUAAAGUGUAUUUUUGUUGCA